This 406-nucleotide ribosomal RNA is filed under the name uncultured bacterium. RNAcentral describes it as "partial 16S ribosomal RNA". It matches the Rfam family "Bacterial small subunit ribosomal RNA", at positions 29 to 526 of the family's 1533-position model. The record is from RNAcentral.
AUUGAACGCUGGCGGCAGGCCUAACACAUGCAAGUCGAACGAGUGGCAGACGGGUGAGUAAUGUCUGGGACACUGCCUGAUGGAGGGGGAUAACUACUGGAAACGGUAGCUAAUACCGCAUACCAUCGGAUGUGCCCAGCUGGGCUUAGCUGGUAGGUGGGGUAAAGGGGCACCUAGGCGACGAUCCCUAGCUGGUCUGCGAGGAUGACGAGCGACACUGGAACUGAGACACGGGACAGACGCCUACGGGAGGCAGCAGUGGGGAAUAUUGCAGAAUGGGCGCAAGCCUGGUGAAGCCAUGCCGGGUGUAUGAAGAAGGCCUUCGGGUUGUAAAGUACUUUCAGCGGGGAGGCGUUACCCGCAGAAGAAGCACCGGCUAACUCCGUGCCAGCCGCCGCGGUAAUAC